Molecule: ribosomal RNA, 409 nt
Filed under: Fusobacteriota bacterium
Lineage: Bacteria; Fusobacteriati; Fusobacteriota
Description: Fusobacteria bacterium partial 16S ribosomal RNA
Rfam family: Bacterial small subunit ribosomal RNA
Source: RNAcentral
UGGGGAAUAUUGCACAAUGGAGGGAACUCUGAUGCAGCAACGCCGCGUGCGGGAUGACGGCCUUCGGGUUGUAAACCGCUUUCAGCCAUGACGAAGCUUUUGUGACGGUAGUGGUAGAAGAAGCACCGGCUAACUACGUGCCAGCAGCCGCGGUGAUACGUAGGGUGCGAGCGUUGUCCGGAAUUAUUGGGCGUAAAGAGCUUGUAGGCGGUUUGUCGCGUCGAUAGUGUAAACACGCAGCUUAACUGUGUGCCUGCUGUCGAUACGGGCUGACUAGAGGAGGGUAGGGGAGAAUGGAAUUCCCGGUGGAGCGGUGGAAUGCGCAGAUAUCGGGGGGACCACCAGUGGCGAAGGCGGUUCUCUGAACCUUUCCUGACGCUGAGAAGCGAAAGCGUGGGUAGCAAACAGG